This 2185-nucleotide small RNA is filed under the name Malus domestica (apple). Its description in RNAcentral is "sRNA MD11G0201700". Lineage: Eukaryota; Viridiplantae; Streptophyta; Magnoliopsida; Rosales; Rosaceae. The record is from RNAcentral.
CUCCGAAGUCCCCAGCGUUUUUCUUCCUCUCCAGCUCCUAACCAAACCUCUCCUUCCCCCUCCUCCCCCCUCCUUUCUCCUUGAUUCUCAUCACGUUUUGAUGAUAAAUUGUUCCUGCUUCCCACACCAAACCUCUCUCUCCUUCUUUCUUUCUCCUUCAUUCUCAUCACGUUUUGAUAACAAAAUUGCUGCAGGGUCUUGUCUCCUCACGAGUCCUGACAUGACCUAUACUAAGCAUAGCAUAGCAGCUAGCGGAGGAGUACUCUCUUGAAUCUUUGAGGACCGGUUGGUUCAAAUGGCUAGAAAGCCAAAGAAAACCAUCUUUUAUCAAGAUCCUCGCCGGUGACUUCUCUCUGUCUGAUCUAAGAAACGGUGACCGCGGGGUUUCAGGCCAAUUUUCGGCCAAGAGGUAAAAAUGAUCCUCUCCUCGUGGCCGUUCCCUAGUAUUGGGGACGAAGAAGGUUGCCUGGGCCGAGAAGAAUGGAAGCCUUGGAAGGUUGUGGGUGAAACUAAGGUGAACAAGGUUCUUCUAAAAAAACUAAGGUGAAUAGGGUGAUUUUCUCCUUAACCACAAGUUCCAAUUUCAGUUGUUGCUUCUUUUAAAAAAUGAAAAAGCUCGUCCGAAACAAUUUGUCAAUAGCGAAUGCAUUGAGGGAGUCUUCCCUCCUUGUUGUGAGUUCGAUUGGAAAGGUGUAACGGAUUCAUCCCCUUCCAUUAACUGAAAACAGGGAUCCAAAGUUUUCAGAGCCACCAAGUCUAUCUAUAUUCACCAAGUCCAUCUCUAUUUCCAGUGCCUAGUUUCCAAAGGCGAAGUUGAGCCAGCCGCUCCGUCCUCCUGUCACCAACGAGCGUCAAACUAUACCUCCAGAAUCCUCUUCCCUUCCUCUUUCCAACCCUCAAGUUAGUUUCUCCAAAUUUGUAGCCGAAUUUUCUCAAUUUCAGAUCUAAGAAAUGGUGACUGUGGGUAUUCCGGCCAAUUUCCGGCAUAGUCUGCCGUAAUUGGAUCUCAACCAAGAGAUUAGGGACGAGGAAGGUGAAUCAUUGUUGUUUCCAACCUGGGCCGAGAAGAAUGGAAGCCUUGGAAGGUUGUGGGUGAAACUAAGUUUGAACUCCCAUCGCGGCAUCAUCAUCUGCUCUUGCUGCUGCUGCCUUUGAUGCAGAAGUUCUCAACCAUUACAUCGGAAUCAAAAUUCUGGUCAAGGUCCCCACACACGUCUAAAGCUCCGUUUGGUUUUGGUGGAUGAAUGAAACUACCAUUUUAAGGCUCUCCUCUGUCUUUAAUUCAUUGAUUGGGAAGCAGCUGAAAAAACCACCACCAGCAGAAAAAAACCCAUCAAACUUAUCCAAUUUCCCAGGUAGAGAUAGCAAUUACUGAGGCUCAAGUAUUAUGAGGAGCAUGUCAAUCUUAAAAAACAUGUUUGAAGGUGUUCAAGAAAAUGUGAAGUCUUUUAAGUGGCAAUUUCCUUCAAAUUUGGUGCCUGUUUUGUACUUUGACGGAAGUUCCGUUAGUCGGGGCCGUACUUAUUUGCAGUAUUGGGCGUUUUCACCAGUCACUGUGUGAGCAGUCGUGGUGACUGAAGGUUGCAUGCAGCUGCAGUACUAUGCUUUUAAGCUUGCUUCUGCUGCAAGGUAAGAUAACAGAUGGGAGUCCAUAUAUACAAAAUAUGGGGUGUCCUAUAUUGUCGAUACAAAAGCAGUGUUGGUCUACAGUAAACUAAACUCUCCGUCGAUGCUUUUCCAUUUGAUACAGAAACCAUGGCAUCCAUGAGGCUUUGCUUUAUAGCUGCUACUCUAAGCCGCCAGACUAAGUAGCCCUUACCAUAAUGCAAUGCCAUAACCGUUUCUGGUUUCUGCUAAGGUGUUUCAUCUGUCCAUGAAUUCCAACACUGCCAAAACGAAGGGGGAGAAAAAGUUGUUGUUAUUGUCACUUUCUACGCAUAAAUUCUUUAUCGGUUCUUGAGUGACAGAAGACCAUCACCUGGAGACGAGAAUGUAAGAAUCUUAUUUGGACUUAACAAGUUGUGAUAAAGGAGAGGUUACAUGUUGAUAAUAUAAUCCUAUAGAGUUUGAAUAUGUGGAAAAGUUAACAUCCUAUUUUUGAACUUCGAAGUUAAGCGAGAAGGAGGCCAGAGCACUCCCAGGAUGGGUGACCUACUGGGAAGUUGCUCGUGAGUUCCCAAAAACA